GAGGAAUAUUGGUCAAUGGACGCAAGUCUGAACCAGCCAUGCCGCGUGCAGGAUGACGGCCCUAUGGGUUGUAAACUGCUUUUAUUCGGGAAGAAACCUUUGCUCGUGAGCGAAGCUGACGGUACUGAAUGAAUAAGCAUCGGCUAACUCCGUGCCAGCAGCCGCGGUAAUACGGAGGAUGCAAGCGUUAUCCGGAUUUAUUGGGUUUAAAGGGUGCGUAGGCGGAAAAAUAAGUCAGUGGUGAAAGCCUGCAGCUCAACUGUAGAAUUGCCAUUGAUGCUGUCUUUCUUGAGUACAUGUGAAGUGGGCGGAAUGUGUUGUGUAGCGGUGAAAUGCAUAGAUAUGACACAGAACACCAAUUGCGAAAGCAGCUCACUAAGUUGUCACUGACGCUGAGGCACGAAAGCGUGGGUAGCAAAC
This 420-nucleotide ribosomal RNA is filed under the name uncultured bacterium. RNAcentral describes it as "bacterial SSU rRNA". It matches the Rfam family "Bacterial small subunit ribosomal RNA", at positions 356 to 773 of the family's 1533-position model. The record is from RNAcentral.